RNAcentral lists this long non-coding RNA (620 nucleotides) under Citrus maxima (pomelo). RNAcentral describes it as "long non-coding RNA (CMAX_LNC002426)". The record is from RNAcentral. Lineage: Eukaryota; Viridiplantae; Streptophyta; Magnoliopsida; Sapindales; Rutaceae.
GUUUAAGCUUCUUGUAAUUUAAUUAUGUGUGUUUUAUUUUAAUUAAGUAUUUUAUGUAUUUUAGGGGCAUCAUGGUCAUUUCACAAUAAACGAGAGAUCAAACGGCAAAACGGACAUCACUUUUGAACUCAGGACGGUCGAAAACUUUAAAAGAAAAAAUGGCAUUGUUCACAUGUACGGUACUAUUCACAUGUACGGGUACUGUCUACGUUACUAUUCACGACACUGUUCACAUAGACGGAUCGAUGAUGUGGCAUUGACCGAUGAUGUGGCAUUGAUUGAUGAGGUGUCAUGAUCCUGUUGGACUAAAAUUCUUAUGUACUGUUGAUGGUGACGUGGCAGCAUAUCAGUGGACCAAAAAUCUCGCGUACGGUACAUGCAUUACACAUGAUUAUUUUCAACCAAACCGCGUCACUGUUCACCCGCGUGGUCAAACCGCGUACUGUUGACUGAUGACGUGGCGCAAUCCUGAGAGUCCAAACUGUUUUAAUCUGAUGGCCACAAUUUACUCAAUGUAUCUAUAAAAAGGGGGCCUCCCCCCUAAUUUGAUAUCUCUGAAUCCAUUUUUGGGAUCCAUAUUCUGUAAUUCUUUCUCCAUCUUGUAUUUUCUACGUAUUUUA